This 120-nucleotide ribosomal RNA is filed under the name uncultured bacterium. RNAcentral's name for it is "partial 16S ribosomal RNA". It matches the Rfam family "Bacterial small subunit ribosomal RNA", at positions 796 to 918 of the family's 1533-position model. The record is from RNAcentral.
CACGCCGUAAACGAUGAGUGCUAGGUGUUGGGGGUCAAACCUCGGUGCCGCAGUUAACGCAUUAAGCACUCCGCCUGGGGAGUACGUUCGCAAGAAUAAAACUCAAAGGAAUUGACGGGG